UACGGGGGGGGCAAGCGUUGUUCGGAAUUACUGGGCGUAAAGGGCUCGUAGGCGGCCAACUAAGUCAGACGUGAAAUCCCUCGGCUUAACCGGGGAACUGCAUCUGAUACUGGAUGGCUUGAGUUCGGGAGAGGGAUGCGGAAUUCCAGGUGUAGCGGUGAAAUGCGUAGAUAUCAAGAGGAACACCUGAGGUGAAGACGGGUUGCUAGGCUGACACUGACGCUGAGGCGCGAAAGCCAGGGGAGCAAACGGG
RNAcentral lists this ribosomal RNA (253 nucleotides) under uncultured bacterium. RNAcentral's name for it is "partial 16S ribosomal RNA". It matches the Rfam family "Bacterial small subunit ribosomal RNA", at positions 524 to 776 of the family's 1533-position model. The record is from RNAcentral.